AUUGUAUUUUGUAUUUUACGUGGAGCGACAGCAAGCUGUCGUUCCACGCAUGUGUUUGACACCGGAUCUCAAUCGAGCAGCUAACUGAACAACCAAAACAUUCUAUUUAUUAAGAAAUUACAGUUAUAACUAACUAACUAAUUAAGUAUUUUAUUUGCAUUUGUUGUUGCAUUUGUUACUAAGGCCAAUUUAGUUUCCUAGUUAAGUUCAUGAUGUUCAACAAGUGUGCGAAAGCUUUUCAUUAUUUAUUUAUUUCUGUUGCAUGUGGGGUUAGGGCCGAAAAGCUUCAGACCUCCCAUAAAUUGGUGGGGGGGGGGGGGUCAGGCCUAGGCGGGUUUUCGGCAUUUUUGGUUUGGUUUGGCGGCGACAGAAAUUUUGUAGUUUUUAGUCGCGUUUCGGCCAAGCAAAGUGACGGAUAAACAAUUUGAUUUUAAAUAAAUAAAUAAAUUUGAGAAAUAAAAUAAUUGUAUAAA
Molecule: long non-coding RNA, 473 nt
Organism: Drosophila navojoa
Lineage: Eukaryota; Metazoa; Arthropoda; Insecta; Diptera; Drosophilidae
Source: RefSeq, a predicted model, not a curated record